GUUUUGAUCAAUUUAGGAUUUUAAGUCUUUAGCUGUAAUUAGUUUGAUUGUUUAGGAUUUUGGAAAUGAGGAUUUUUGGUCUAGCAUGUGAUAGAUUUGUUUGAUUUAUGUAUAGUUCAGUAUUCGGUGUAGACGCCGUUGUUUUGAUCAAUUUAGGGUUCAAAUUUUAGCUUUGAUCAGUUCAGUGGAUUAGGAGUUAGUGAAAAUGAAGAUUGUGGAAUUGGAUGACUCGUUAAUAGAAGGUGAUAGUAAGUGUGUGAACUCUGAGAGACGUGUGAUUGUUGGUGUUGAU
RNAcentral lists this unclassified non-coding RNA (292 nucleotides) under Hevea brasiliensis (rubber tree). Lineage: Eukaryota; Viridiplantae; Streptophyta; Magnoliopsida; Malpighiales; Euphorbiaceae. The record is from RNAcentral.